CCUACGGGUGGCAGCAGUGGGGAAUAUUGGGCAAUGGGCGCAAGCCUGACCCAGCAACGCCGCGUGAAGGAAGAAGGCUUUCGGGUUGUAAACUUGUUUUGUCAGGGGAGAGUAGAAGACGGUACCUGACGAAUAAGCCACGGCUAACUACGUGCAAGCAGCCGCGGUAAUACGUAGGUGGCAAGCGUUGUCCGGAUUUACUGGGUGUAAAGGGCGUGUAGCCGGGUUGACAAGUCAGAUGUGAAAUCCUGCGGCGUAACCGCAGAACUGCAUUUGAAACUGUUGAUCUUGAUUACUGGAGAGGCAGACGGAAUUGCUAGUGUAGCGUGGAAAUGCGUAGAUAUUAGGAGGAACACCAGUGGCGAAGGCGGUCUGCUGGACAGCAACUGACGGUGAGGCGCGAAAGCGUGGGGAGCAAACAGGAUUAGAUACCUGUGUAGUC
Molecule: ribosomal RNA, 442 nt
Filed under: uncultured bacterium
Lineage: Bacteria
Description: partial 16S ribosomal RNA
Rfam family: Bacterial small subunit ribosomal RNA
Source: RNAcentral